Molecule: ribosomal RNA, 254 nt
Filed under: uncultured bacterium
Lineage: Bacteria
Description: partial 16S ribosomal RNA
Rfam family: Bacterial small subunit ribosomal RNA
Source: RNAcentral
UACCGAGGGGGCAAGCGUUGUUCGGAAUUACUGGGCGUAAAGGGCGCGUAGGCGGCCUUCUAAGUCGAACGUGAAAUCCCCGGGCUCAACCCGGGAACUGCGUCCGAUACUGGAAGGCUUGAAUCCGGGAGAGGGAUGCGGAAUUCCAGGUGUAGCGGUGAAAUGCGUAGAUAUCUGGAGGAACACCGGUGGCGAAGGCGGCAUCCUGGACCGGCAUUGACGCUGAGGCGCGAAAGCCAGGGGAGCAAAGCGGG